GUGGAGAUAAUCCAUGCAAAUCAGAGGCACUGGCUCUCAGUGCUUGAUUCACAAAGAGAACUCAGCUUCAGGAGGUCACUCGUUCACAGCUGCUCCUCCCAUUAUAUUUUUCCCUUAUUGCAGAACUGCUGCAUGUAUACAGUGACUGAAAGGACUCAAUUUACUGCAACUGCUGCCUGGUUUUACUUACAACUUUCUUUAAAGGGGGACUUACCUUCUAUCUGUCUUACUAAGGUGACAGUGCACCAAGGGACAUCGCCUAAAGCUGGGCACGAUGAGACCUAAUCUUGGGUAGGAGCCCAUGAGGGAUUGGAGGUCCUACUGUGACAGGCUUCAUUUGACUUCUUCUUCAUUGCUGUUUCCUCGAAGUAUUUCUAAUGAAGUUGUGAUUAAGGGGUGGUCCUUCUACUGCAAUAGUCGCUAAUCAUAGCUUCAACAAUACCUUUUGGAGAAGCUCCUGGUUGCAGUAGAGUCUACCUGAAGCCAG
Long non-coding RNA from Melopsittacus undulatus (budgerigar), 487 nucleotides. RefSeq lists it as uncharacterized. NCBI's taxonomy places the organism in Eukaryota, Metazoa, Chordata, Aves, Psittaciformes, Psittaculidae. The record is from RefSeq and is a predicted model, not a curated record. The transcript is spliced from 3 exons.